UACCGAGGGUGCAAGCGUUGUUCGGAAUUCUUGGGCGUAAAGCGCGUGGAGGCGGCUUUGCAAGUCGGGUGGGAAAGCCCUCAGCUUAACUGAGGAAGUGCGCCCGAAACUGCUUGGCUUGAGGACCGGAGAGGAUGGCGGAAUUCCCCAAGUAGAGGUGGAAUUCGUAGAUAUGGGGAGGAACACCAGUGGCGAAGGCGGCGAUCUGGGAAGAUACUGACGCUGAGGUGCGAAAGCGUGGGGAGCAAACAGA
RNAcentral lists this ribosomal RNA (253 nucleotides) under uncultured bacterium. RNAcentral describes it as "partial 16S ribosomal RNA". It matches the Rfam family "Bacterial small subunit ribosomal RNA", at positions 524 to 776 of the family's 1533-position model. The record is from RNAcentral.